UUAAGCGACUAAGCGUACACGGUGGAUGCCCUGGCAGUCAGAGGCGAUGAAGGACGUGCUAAUCUGCGAAAAGCGUCGGUAAGGUGAUAUGAACCGUUAUAACCGGCGAUGUCCGAAUGGGGAAACCCAGUGCAAUUCGUUGCACUAUCGUUAACUGAAUACAUAGGUUAACGAGGCGAACCGGGGGAACUGAAACAUCUAAGUACCCCGAGGAAAAGAAAUCAACCGAGAUUCCCCCAGUAGCGGCGAGCGAACGGGGAGCAGCCCAGAGUCUGAAUCAGCUUGUGUGUUAGUGGAACGGUCUGGAAAGUCCGACGGUACAGGGUGAUAGUCCCGUACACCAAAAUGCACAGGCUGUGAACUCGAAGAGUAGGGCGGGACACGUGGUAUCCUGUCUGAAUAUGGGGGGACCAUCCUCCAAGGCUAAAUACUCCUGACUGACCGAUAGUGAACCAGUACCGUGAGGGAAAGGCGAAAAGAACCCCGGCGAGGGGAGUGAAAAAGAACCUGAAACCGUGUACGUACAAGCAGUGGGAGCACCUUCGGGUGUGACUGCGUACCUUUUGUAUAAUGGGUCAGCGACUUAUAUUCUGUAGCAAGGUUAACCGUAUAGGGGAGCCGCAGGGAAACCGAGUCUUAACUGGGCGUUAAGUUGCAGGGUAUAGACCCGAAACCCGGUGAUCUAGCCAUGGGCAGGUUGAAGGUUGGGUAACACUAACUGGAGGACCGAACCGACUAAUGUUGAAAAAUUAGCGGAUGACUUGUGGCUGGGGGUGAAAGGCCAAUCAAACCGGGAGAUAGCUGGUUCUCCCCGAAAGCUAUUUAGGUAGCGCCUCGUGAAUUCAUCUUCGGGGGUAGAGCACUGUUUCGGCUAGGGGGUCAUCCCGACUUACCAACCCGAUGCAAACUACGAAUACCAAAGAAUGUUAUCACGGGAGACACACGGCGGGUGCUAACGUCCGUCGUGAAGAGGGAAACAACCCAGACCGCCAGCUAAGGUCCCAAAGUCAUGGUUAAGUGGGAAACGAUGUGGGAAGGCACAGACAGCCAGGAUGUUGGCUUAGAAGCAGCCAUCAUUUAAAGAAAGCGUAAUAGCUCACUGGUCGAGUCGGCCUGCGCGGAAGAUGUAACGGGGCUAAACCAUGCACCGAAGCUGCGGCAGCGACACUAUGUGUUGUUGGGUAGGGGAGCGUUCUGUAAGCCUGCGAAGGUGUGCUGUGAGGCAUGCUGGAGGUAUCAGAAGUGCGAAUGCUGACAUAAGUAACGAUAAAGCGGGUGAAAAGCCCGCUCGCCGGAAGACCAAGGGUUCCUGUCCAACGUUAAUCGGGGCAGGGUGAGUCGACCCCUAAGGCGAGGCCGAAAGGCGUAGUCGAUGGGAAACAGGUUAAUAUUCCUGUACUUGGUGUUACUGCGAAGGGGGGACGGAGAAGGCUAUGUUAGCCGGGCGACGGUUGUCCCGGUUUAAGCAUGUAGGCUGGUUAUCCAGGCAAAUCCGGAUAAUCAAGGCUGAGGUGUGAUGACGAGGCACUACGGUGCUGAAGUAACAAAUGCCCUGCUUCCAGGAAAAGCCUCUAAGCAUCAGGUAACAUUAAAUCGUACCCCAAACCGACACAGGUGGUCAGGUAGAGAAUACCAAGGCGCUUGAGAGAACUCGGGUGAAGGAACUAGGCAAAAUGGUGCCGUAACUUCGGGAGAAGGCACGCUGGUGUGUAGGUGAAGCCCCUGCGGGUGGAGCUGAGACCAGUCGAAGAUACCAGCUGGCUGCAACUGUUUAUUAAAAACACAGCACUGUGCAAACACGAAAGUGGACGUAUACGGUGUGACGCCUGCCCGGUGCCGGAAGGUUAAUUGAUGGGGUUAUCCGUAAGGAGAAGCUCUUGAUCGAAGCCCCGGUAAACGGCGGCCGUAACUAUAACGGUCCUAAGGUAGCGAAAUUCCUUGUCGGGUAAGUUCCGACCUGCACGAAUGGCGUAAUGAUGGCCAGGCUGUCUCCACCCGAGACUCAGUGAAAUUGAACUCGCUGUGAAGAUGCAGUGUACCCGCGGCAAGACGGAAAGACCCCGUGAACCUUUACUAUAGCUUGACACUGAACAUUGAGCCUUGAUGUGUAGGAUAGGUGGGAGGCUUUGAAGCGUAGACGCCAGUCUGCGUGGAGCCAACCUUGAAAUACCACCCUUUAAUGUUUGAUGUUCUAACGUUGGCCCCUUACCGGGGUUGCGGACAGUGUCUGGUGGGUAGUUUGACUGGGGCGGUCUCCUCCCAAAGCGUAACGGAGGAGCACGAAGGUUAGCUAAUCCUGGUCGGACAUCAGGAGGUUAGUGCAAUGGCAUAAGCUAGCUUGACUGCGAGCGUGACGGCGCGAGCAGGUGCGAAAGCAGGUCAUAGUGAUCCGGUGGUUCUGAAUGGAAGGGCCAUCGCUCAACGGAUAAAAGGUACUCCGGGGAUAACAGGCUGAUACCGCCCAAGAGUUCAUAUCGACGGCGGUGUUUGGCACCUCGAUGUCGGCUCAUCACAUCCUGGGGCUGAAGUAGGUCCCAAGGGUAUGGCUGUUCGCCAUUUAAAGUGGUACGCGAGCUGGGUUUAGAACGUCGUGAGACAGUUCGGUCCCUAUCUGCCGUGGGCGCUGGAGAAUUGAGGGGGGCUGCUCCUAGUACGAGAGGACCGGAGUGGACGCAUCACUGGUGUUCGGGUUGUCAUGCCAAUGGCACUGCCCGGUAGCUAAAUGCGGAAGAGAUAAGUGCUGAAAGCAUCUAAGCACGAAACUUGCCCCGAGAUGAGUUCUCCCUGAGACUUUAAGUCUCCUGAAGGAACGUUAAAGACGAUGACGUUGAUAGGCCGGGUGUGUAAGCGCAGCGAUGCGUUGAGCUAACCGGUACUAAUGAACCGUGAGGCUUAACCUU
RNAcentral lists this ribosomal RNA (2900 nucleotides) under Klebsiella pneumoniae. RNAcentral describes it as "bacterial LSU rRNA". It matches the Rfam family "Bacterial large subunit ribosomal RNA". Lineage: Bacteria; Pseudomonadati; Pseudomonadota; Gammaproteobacteria; Enterobacterales; Enterobacteriaceae. The record is from RNAcentral.